Long non-coding RNA from Rhinichthys klamathensis goyatoka, 175 nucleotides. RefSeq lists it as uncharacterized. Lineage: Eukaryota; Metazoa; Chordata; Actinopteri; Cypriniformes; Leuciscidae. The transcript has 3 exons. The record is from RefSeq and is a predicted model, not a curated record.
AAAGAAAGAAAGAAAGAAAGAAAGAUGGAUAGAUUAGUUAGAAAGAAAGAUAGAUUAAUUAGUCAAAAAGAAAGAAAGAAAGAAAGAAAGAAAGAUGGAUAGAUUAGUUAGAAAGAAAGAUAGAUUAAUUAGUUAGAAAGAAAGAAAGAUAGAUUUGUUAGAAAGAAAGAUAGAU